CUGACCUUAUAGGUUCAUUUAUCAUUAGGAGCAAGGUGAGGCCAAUCCCUUUGAUGCAACAUAUUAUAAGGAUGGUAAGCUGAGGUGGCGGAGGAAUUAGGCAUGGGGAUGCCCAUGUGGCCAUGGGGCAUGCCCGACAUCAUGGGAGGUGGAUAUGGCAUGGACAUCAGGGGAGGUGGAUAUGGCAUGGACAUCAUCGGAACAGAGAGAUGACCAUGACCAUGACCAUGACCAUGACCACGGCCAUUGCUAUGGCCAUGCCCAUGACCAUGACCAUUGCUAUGGUUACUGGGAGGAGCAGAGUCAUGCAAGCUCUGAGGCAC
This 323-nucleotide long non-coding RNA is filed under the name Glycine max (soybean). RNAcentral's name for it is "long non-coding RNA (GMAX_LNC002449)". Lineage: Eukaryota; Viridiplantae; Streptophyta; Magnoliopsida; Fabales; Fabaceae. The record is from RNAcentral.